RNAcentral lists this ribosomal RNA (1185 nucleotides) under Pyrenula septicollaris. RNAcentral describes it as "LSU rRNA". It matches the Rfam family "Eukaryotic large subunit ribosomal RNA", at positions 40 to 1105 of the family's 3401-position model. Lineage: Eukaryota; Fungi; Ascomycota; Eurotiomycetes; Pyrenulales; Pyrenulaceae. The record is from RNAcentral.
AUAUCAAUAAGCGGAGGAAAAGAAACCAACAGGGAUUGCCUCAGUAACGGCGAGUGAAGCGGCAACAGCUCAAAUUUGAAAUCUGGCCCGUCCCGGGUCCGAGUUGUAAUUUGGAGAGGAUGCUUCGGAUAAAGCUGCGGUCCAAGUCCCUUGGAACAGGGCGUCACAGAGGGUGAGAAUCCCGUCUUCGACCGUGAGCGGCGUCCGUGUGAAGCUCCUUCGACGAGUCGCGUUGUUUGGGAAUGCAGCGCAAAAUGGGUGGUAAAUUUCAUCUAAAGCUAAAUAUGGGCCAGAGACCGAUAGCGCACAAGUAGAGUGAUCGAAAGAUGAAAAGUACUUUGAAAAGAGAGUUAAACAGCAUGUGAAAUUGUUGAAAGGGAAGCGCUUGCAGCCAGACUCGUGGGCGGCGAUUCAGCCGGGGAUCCGUCCCCGGUGCACUUUGCCGUCUCCGGGCCAGCAUCGGUUUGGGCAGCCAGUGAAAGGCCCGGGGAAUGUAUCAACCCUCUCGGGGGCUUGACUUAUAGCCCCGGGUGCCAUAUGGCUCGUCGAGACCGAGGAACGCGCUCCGGCACGGAUGCUGGCGUAAUGGCUGUAAGCGACCCGUCUUGAAACACGGACCAAGGAGUCUAACAUCUAUGCGAGUGUUCGGGUGUCAAACCCUGGCGCGUAAUGAAAGUGAACGGAGGUCGGAGCCUGCCUUUGCAGGUGCACGAUCGACCGAUCCUGAUGUUCUCGGAUGGAUUUGAGUAAGAGCAUAGCUGUUGGGACCCGAAAGAUGGUGAACUAUGCGUGUAUAGGGUGAAGCCAGAGGAAACUCUGGUGGAGGCUCGCAGCGGUUCUGACGUGCAAAUCGAUCGUCAAAUACGCGUAUAGGGGCGAAAGACUAAUCGAACCAUUGGGAUCUAUGGCUACGACGUAUAUUUCUCGUUUUACCAGGUGGUUCUUACACAGGGAGCUAGUCACCCUGGAUAGCCCCCAAGAAAAAGUUUUCCUUUUUCAUGUGGGUGACACCGUUAGUGUGGCGGGAACUCUUGACUGAGAUCCGCAGCAGUUUCUUCUCGGAAAGAACUGUCCACAGACUAUAGAAUGGUGGUCGGGUGCAGAGUGCAUCUUGAUAAAGAUAUAGCCGGAAGAGAUUUAUGGGACCGUCCCAUGAUCUCUAGAUUGCUGGUAGCUGGUUCCUGC